This 214-nucleotide unclassified non-coding RNA is filed under the name plant metagenome. RNAcentral describes it as "partial contains small subunit ribosomal RNA, internal transcribed spacer 1, and 5.8S ribosomal RNA". The record is from RNAcentral.
UCUCCGUAGGUGAACCUGCGGAGGGAUCACUACAGGCUUGCAAAAGCUCUGAAACCACUGUUUAUCUACCUGAAUCUGCUUCGGCGGGCGGCCCCAGGGCGGGGCCGUGGCCGCAAGGCGCCCGCCGAAGACCCCUAAACUCUAUCGUCUUGAGAAUCUCUGAGUAUCAUAUUAAACAAAAAAACAACUUUCAACAACGGAUCUCUUGGCUCUG